GAUGAACGCUGGCGGCGUGCCUAAUACAUGCAAGUCGAGCGAAUGGAUUAAGAGCUUGCUCUUAUGAAGUUAGCGGCGGACGGGUGAGUAACACGUGGGUAACCUGCCCAUAAGACUGGGAUAACUCCGGGAAACCGGGGCUAAUACCGGAUAACAUUUUGAACCGCAUGGUUCGAAAUUGAAAGGCGGCUUCGGCUGUCACUUAUGGAUGGACCCGCGUCGCAUUAGCUAGUUGGUGAGGUAACGGCUCACCAAGGCAACGAUGCGUAGCCGACCUGCGAGGGUGAUCGGCCACACUGGGACUGAGAAACGGCCCAGACUCCUACGGGAGGCAGCAGUAGGGAAUCUUCCGCAAUGGACGAAAGUCUGACGGGGCAACGCCGCGUGAGUGAUGAAGGCUUUCGGGUCGUAAAACUCUGUUGUUAGGGAAGAACAAGUGCUAGUUGAAUAAGCUGGCACCUUGACGGUACCUAACCAGAAAGCCACGGCUAACUACGUGCCAGCCGCCGCAGUAA
RNAcentral lists this ribosomal RNA (515 nucleotides) under uncultured bacterium. Its description in RNAcentral is "partial 16S ribosomal RNA". It matches the Rfam family "Bacterial small subunit ribosomal RNA", at positions 28 to 523 of the family's 1533-position model. The record is from RNAcentral.